This 468-nucleotide ribosomal RNA is filed under the name uncultured bacterium. RNAcentral's name for it is "partial 16S ribosomal RNA". It matches the Rfam family "Bacterial small subunit ribosomal RNA", at positions 28 to 507 of the family's 1533-position model. The record is from RNAcentral.
GACGAACGCUGGCGGCGUGCUUAACACAUGCAAGUCGAACGGAAAGGCCCUGCUUUUGUGGGGUGCUCGAGUGGCGAACGGAUGAGUAACACGUGAGUAACCUGCCCUUGACUUUGGGAUAACUUCAGGAAACUGGGGCUAAUACCGGAUAGGAGCUCCUGCUGCAUGGUGGGGGUUGGAAAGUUUCGGCGGUUGGGGAUGGACUCGCGGCUUAUCAGCUUGUUGGUGGGGUAGUGGCUUACCAAGGCUUUGACGGGUAGCCGGCCUGAGAGGGUGACCGGCCACAUUGGGACUGAGAUACGGCCCAGACUCCUACGGGAGGCAGCAGUGGGGAAUAUUGCACAAUGGGCGGAAGCCUGAUGCAGCAACGCCGCGUGCGGGAUGACGGCCUUCGGGUUGUAAACCGCUUUCGCCUGUGACGAAGCGUGAGAGACGGUAAUGGGUAAAGAAGCACCGGCUAACUACGUG